RNAcentral lists this long non-coding RNA (2653 nucleotides) under Callithrix jacchus (white-tufted-ear marmoset). RNAcentral's name for it is "lncRNA (ENSCJAG00000072980.1)". The record is from RNAcentral. Lineage: Eukaryota; Metazoa; Chordata; Mammalia; Primates; Cebidae.
AUGUCCGACAUGGAAAUCGGGACGGGAACACAUUUUAGGUUAGGUUCGCCAGCGUGUAAGCGCGACUCCGACGCGUGUCAGCGUCCACAGCCCAGUGUGACACCUUCCCUCGCACCAUCCACCGCGCAGUCAUUUUCCUUCCCCCGUGUGAACACAUCAAAAGUCACCUCGGGCCCCCAACUGCCCCAGAUUGUUCCCGAUCGCUGCAGACGCCCCGCACCCGCAGGAACUUCCCCGCGCGGGGGGACACUGCGCCCUCGGGAGGAGACGCAGGACCGUCCAGGGCGCAGCCUCGUCCCCAGCGCAGUCUCCACUCCGGGAGCAGAGCGCGCCCUCCCCACAAGGCAGCAGCGUCGCCCGCCCGGCCCAGCCUCGUCUCGGCGCAGCCUGCUGUCCCCCAGCGCAGCGUCCCCCAGGGACAGAGGCUCCCGGCCCCGGGCGCAGCCUAAUUCCCCGGGCAGCCUCGGAUCUCCGGGCGCAGCCUCAUCCCCAGCGCAGCCUCCGGCCCCGGGCGCAGCCUCGUCCCCAGCAGCCUCGGAUCCCCGGGCGCAGCCUCGUCCCCAGCAGCCUCGGAUCCCCGGGCGCAGCCUCGUCCCCAGCAGCCUCGGAUCCCCGGGCGCAGCCUCGUCCCCAGCAGCCUCCGGCCCCGGGCGCAGCCUCGUCCCCAGCAGCCUCCGGCCCCGGGCGCAGCCUCGUCCCCAGCAGCCUCGGAUCCCCGGGCGCAGCCUCGUCCCCAGCAGCCUCGGAUCCCCGGGCGCAGCCUCGUCCCCAGCAGCCUCCGGCCCCGGGCGCAGCCUCGUCCCCAGCAGCCUCGGAUCUCCGGGGCACCGCGUCCUCUCCCCAGAACGCAGCCUGGGUCGCCAGGGCGCAGCCUCGUCCCGGCGCACCUCCCUCCCCGCGGCGCGGUGCAUCCCACGCGGACUCGGCGCCCGCAGGAAGGGACGCGGGGCCGCCCGGGACGCAGCCUCCUCCCGGGCGAAACGCUCCAGCAGACGGGCGCCCCGGGAGGGUGGAUGCCGGGCGGUGUCAGGGCAGCCUCGCCGCCCCGCGGGCGCCCUCCGCUCCCGGGACGGCCCGCAGCCUGGGCCCCGCCGCCAGCCCCUGCCCGGCGCUUACAUAAACGCCGCCGCCGCGGGGUCCGGAGCCUCCGCGCCCGCCCUCACCUCAGCCGCGCCGCGCCUGGUCCUCCACAGCGCGCCCCAGGCUCCCGCCGCAGUCCUGGGCCGGGCGGCUCUCCGCCUCGUAGGCUGUGAGCUGCGGCGCGGCGUGGCUCUGGCCUCGCGCGGCCCGGAGCCCCGGCCGCCGACCCGGCCGCUCGGCAGCCGCCGCCGCCGCCGCAGCCAGGGCCGCCUCAGCCAGGGCCGCCUCAGCGCCUCAGCCCAGCCACUGGCGGCUCCGCCCCCUCCCCGCCCCCGCCCGCCGGGCGCGCGCGCGCCGAGGGGCGGGGCCGGCGCCGCGACGCCGGACGUGCGCGCGCAUGCGCGCCUGCUUGUCGCGGUCAGUCGGGGCUGUGGCGUCUCCCUCGGGACCAGCUGCAGCGGGCGAGCGUGGGGCCGGGACCCUGCCCGCGUUCGAGUCCUCCUCUGGCAUAUGCAAUAGACUCACUGCCCGAUUUAUCUGCAUUUACUGACUUCCACAGUUAUACCAAGAAAUGUUUACACGGAUGAUGAUAAGCACAUGUGCAAAUGCAGCGUUUUCACCGACCCGGGUAACCAACUCCCGGCUGCAGUUCUCUGCACGGAGAUGAGGCUUGAUGGGGAAACUCCGCAGCGACCUGAGCCUAGAGGAGCAGCUGGGCACGGUGGGCAGAGCCCGGUGUGGACAGGCGCUGGGUCCUGCACCUGGCUGGGGGGAGCUGCAGGCGCCAGGGUCAAGUUGAGGGUGUGCUAGUCCUGGCCUCCGGCCUCAGGUGGCCCACUCUGCCCUCUGCCUGUUUCCUCCCUUGUAAAGUGGGGAGGAACGGACCAUCACAAGCCAGGGUUGGUGGCACAUGCUGUGGUCUCAGCCACUCAGGAGGCUGCACCUGGAGGGUCACUUGUGUCCCAGAGCUGCGCUCCAGCCUGGGCAACGCUGAGACUCGGGCUCUGAAAACCCACAAAACGUAUAAGAUGAACGCAGAUAAACGAUGGGAGCCUGGUAUGUGGUGAGCACGCUGCAGGUGGCAGCCUGGAACCCAGGACAGGUCACUGCCUGGUGGAAAACAAGCCUGUCUUUGGGGCCAGCCAGCUAACAAGUGAGCGUUUCACCCCAUCUGAAGGCAAAGUACCCAAAUGGGCAACCGUGGACAGCUAAGUAAAAAUGAGGACUCCUGGGAUGCCUUCUCAGGACACAUUCUUAAUAAACAGAUACGUGCAUGAGGACAUUGUGUGUAUUUCUAUGCAGCAGACCACCCCAAACCUCAGUGAGCAAAAACCUGUCUUCACUGCUCAUGACCCUGUGGGCCUGCAGCUUGAGCCGGUUCAGCUGGGACGGCUUCCCUCGGCCCCACGAGGUGACCACUGGGCCUACUUAUCCGCAGAGGCCCCCGGCAGAUCCGGGCCAUGUGUCACCAGUCCCUACAGGCUGGCCGGGCCUCCUUCCCGGCAGGUCUCCAUCGGCAGCGAGAGAAAGCAAAUCCCUGUGGUGUUUCCAUCCAUCUCCCCAGGAGAAGCAG